Molecule: ribosomal RNA, 445 nt
Filed under: uncultured bacterium
Lineage: Bacteria
Description: partial 16S ribosomal RNA
Rfam family: Bacterial small subunit ribosomal RNA
Source: RNAcentral
GUAGGGAAUAUUGGGCAAUGGAGGCAACUCUGACCCAGCCAUGCCGCGUGCAGGAUGACGGCCCUCUGGGUUGUAAACUGCUUUUAUACGGGAAGAAAAAAUACUACGUGUAGUAUACUGACGGUACCGUAAGAAUAAGGAUCGGCUAACUCCGUGCCAGCAGCCGCGGUAAUACGGAGGAUCCAAGCGGUGUCCGGAUUUAUUGGGUUUAAAGGGUGCGUAGGCGGAUCUUUAAGUCAGUGGGGAAAGCCUGCAGCUUAACUGUAGAAGUGCCAUUGAAACUGAAGAUCUUGAAUGUGGUUAAAGUAGGCGGAAUGUAUCAUGUAGCGGUGAAAUGCUUAGAUAUGAUACAGAACACCGAUAGCGAAGGCAGCUUGCUGAACCAUUAUUGACGCUGAGGCACGAAAGCGUGGGGAGCGAACAGGAUUAGAUACCCUAGUAGUCC